GCCUUCGUGGUGUAGUGGUCUGCACGAUCGACGCGUAACCGAGAGAUCCGUGGUUCGAUUCCCGGCGAAGGCG
Molecule: non-coding RNA, 73 nt
Organism: Stegodyphus mimosarum
Lineage: Eukaryota; Metazoa; Arthropoda; Arachnida; Araneae; Eresidae
Source: Rfam